CCUUUUUAUGGUGGUAGGCAAGAGGCGGAUCAUUGGCAGCUUUACAGUGUAAUAAUGAUCUUUGAAGCUAAUGGUUUGACACUGAUGGUUACCGCCUUCACCUAAUCAAUGCAGUUAGGCGGGUAUCAUUGUUCUAUCUCACCAACGGGAUACCAUAAAAGCUAAUACAGAUUCAACAGUGAAGCUUCGAGUAAAGCUAACUUCGAUCCACCCAAGGGAAAACAAAUCAUAAGACAAUUCAAAUUCCCUUCGCCAGUAGCAGAAGCUACGGCGUGUUGAGUAAGUAUGGUGAACUGCGUCAUCAGCGCCUUCGAUUUCAGCGAUUAUGCAUCAAUGUUAAGUGACAGCAAUUCGUGGUGAGAUUCGUGGCUCAAUUAAAUAAAAAAAUAAAUAAAAUGUAAUUUACAAUAUAUUAAAAU
Long non-coding RNA from Armigeres subalbatus, 419 nucleotides. RefSeq lists it as uncharacterized. NCBI's taxonomy places the organism in Eukaryota, Metazoa, Arthropoda, Insecta, Diptera, Culicidae. The transcript is spliced from 3 exons. The record is from RefSeq and is a predicted model, not a curated record.